Molecule: ribosomal RNA, 640 nt
Filed under: uncultured bacterium
Lineage: Bacteria
Description: bacterial SSU rRNA
Rfam family: Bacterial small subunit ribosomal RNA
Source: RNAcentral
CUUGAUUAGUGGCGCACGGGUGAGUAAUGCAUAGAUAAUGUGCCCCUUAGUUCGGGAUAGCCACUGGAAACGGUGAUUAAUACCGGAUACUCCUUCUUGUUAUAAGACAAGUCGGGAAAGUUUUUCGCUAAGGGAUCAGUCUAUGUUCCAUCAGCUUGUUGGUGAGGUAAUGGCUCACCAAGGCUAUGACGGAUAUCUGGUUUGAGAGGAUGAUCAGACACACUGGAACUGAGACACGGUCCAGACUCCUACGGGAGGCAGCAGAGAGGAAUAUUGCACAAUGGAGGAAACUCUGAUGCAGCAACGCCGCGUGGAGGAUGACGCAUUUCGGUGUGUAAACUCCUUUUAUUAGGGAAGAUAAUGACGGUACCUAAUGAAUAAGCACCGGCUAACUCCGUGCCAGCAGCCGCGGUAAUACGGAGGGUGCAAGCGUUACUCGGAAUCACUGGGCGUAAAGGGUGCGUAGGCUGGCUUUUAAGUCAGAUGUGAAAUCCAAUGGCUCAACCAUUGAACUGCAUUUGAAACUGAAAGCCUAGAGUUCAGAAGGGGCAGAUGGAAUUAGUGGUGUAGGGGUAAAAUCCGUAGAUAUCACUAGGAAUAUCAAAAGCGAAGGCGAUCUGCUGGGAUGAUACUGACGCUG